RNAcentral lists this long non-coding RNA (380 nucleotides) under Fukomys damarensis (Damara mole-rat). RNAcentral describes it as "lncRNA (ENSFDAG00000022446.1)". The record is from RNAcentral. Lineage: Eukaryota; Metazoa; Chordata; Mammalia; Rodentia; Bathyergidae.
GGGGACUUUUAGAGCUGAUGAUGCAGCUGACCUACUGGAGAGAGGCAGUGGGAGGGCCCUGGAGGGUAUAAAUAAAUAGGAGCCCCUGGUGCUUCGAAGUCAUAGCUCAGACUCGGGAAGAGCGCACCCACCCAGGCAGCAUGAGGCUCAGCGCGGCCGCUCUGCUUCUCAUGGUGCUAAUCAGCAGCCUCUCUCCAGGCCACGGUGUUCUGGAGGCCUACAACACAAACCUGAAGUGUAGAUGUAUUCGAGGAACCUCGAGCAUCAACAUAUCCCACAUCCAGAGACUUCAAAUUAGAGCCCCUGGGCAUGGUUGCCCAAACACAGAAAUCAUGUAAGUUGCAAGAAAAAAUAAAUAUGAUUCCUUUCAUCCAGUGAAA